UGGCGCUUUAUUUUAACUUCAUUCUGAUAUCGAUAUACUUCCGUUUUCAGAAUGAUUUGUGUUCGUUCCCCGUGAAAAAUUGAACACAAUGUACAUAACCCUUGCAUUUUUCAAGGAGGAAACAGGUUUCACGGGGGACCACAAAUCACGGUGACACCGGCAGUGAACUGAUCACCUGCCAAUGUCAAUACUAAUGAGUGGCUAAUAUAUUUUAUUUAACCUUCUCAUGAUUCAUCGAUAUACGCAAAGGUUUGCAGCAAUUCGAACUAGUGCAAUAUAUUUCUCGACCUCUGCAAAGCUUACAAAAAUGUCAAAAGGACCAAGUAAACUUGACGAAGCUGAAAGGGAAAAAUCUUUGAAACCUUUGUUGGAAAAAGGGUGGAAAAUGUGCAGCGAAAAAGAUGGAAUCGAAAAGCAGUUUGUGUUCAAAAAUUUUAAUCGAGCAUUUGGUUUCAUGACACGUGUUGCACUGCAAGCUGAAAAAAUGGACCAUCAUCCAGAGUGGUUUAACGUGUACAAUAAAGUUCACAUCACUUAUUCAACUCAUUCUUGUAAUGGUCUUUCUUCAAAUGAUAUAAAGUUGGCAACAUUUACAGAUGCAAUAUCAUCAUCGAUGUAAACUGUAGUUUCGUAUUCAUUUUGAAAUAAACAAAAUUGUCAAACA
This is a long non-coding RNA of Xenia sp. Carnegie-2017, 664 nucleotides long. RefSeq lists it as uncharacterized. The transcript is spliced from 2 exons. The record is from RefSeq and is a predicted model, not a curated record. Lineage: Eukaryota; Metazoa; Cnidaria; Anthozoa; Malacalcyonacea; Xeniidae.